Molecule: ribosomal RNA, 546 nt
Filed under: uncultured bacterium
Lineage: Bacteria
Description: bacterial SSU rRNA
Rfam family: Bacterial small subunit ribosomal RNA
Source: RNAcentral
GGGGAAUAUUGCGCAAUGGGGGGAACCCUGACGCAGCCAUGCCGCGUGAAUGAAGAAGGCCUUCGGGUUGUAAAGUUCUUUCGGUAUUGAGGAAGGGAUGUGUGCUAAUAGUACAUAUCAUUGACGUUAAAUACAGAAGAAGCACCGGCUAACUCCGUGCCAGCAGCCGCGGUAAUACGGAGGGUGCGAGCGCUAAUCGGAAUAACUGGGCGUAAAGGGCACGCAGGCGGUUAUUUAAGUGAGGUGUGAAAGCCCCGGGCUUAACCUGGGAAUUGCAUUUCAGACUGGGUAACUAGAGUACUUUAGGGAGGGGUAGAAUUCCACGUGUAGCGGUGAAAUGCGUAGAGAUGUGGAGGAAUACCGAAGGCGAAGGCAGCCCCUUGGGAAUGUACUGACGCUCAUGUGCGAAAGCGUGGGGAGCAAACAGGAUUAGAUACCCUGGUAGUCCACGCUGUAAACGCUGUCGAUUUGGGGAUUGAGCUUAAAGCUUGGUGCCCGUAGCUAACGUGAUAAAUCGACCGCCUGGGGAGUACGGCCGCAAGGUUA